UGACCUCAAAUCAGGUAGGAUUACCCGCUGAACUUAAGCAUAUCAAUAAG
This 50-nucleotide ribosomal RNA is filed under the name Fibroporia gossypium. Its description in RNAcentral is "partial 28S ribosomal RNA". RNAcentral also lists the same sequence under 1 other name. The record is from RNAcentral. Lineage: Eukaryota; Fungi; Basidiomycota; Agaricomycetes; Polyporales; Fibroporiaceae.